GAUGAACGCUGGCGGCGUGCCUAAUACAUGCAAGUCGAGCGAACAGAUAAGGAGCUUGCUCCUGUGACGUUAGCGGCGGACGGGUGAGUAACACGUGGGUAACCUACCUAUAAGACUGGGAUAACUUCGGGAAACCGGAGCUAAUACCGGAUAACAUUUGGAACCGCAUGGUUCUAAAGUGAAAGAUGGUUUUGCUAUCACUUAUAGAUGGACCCGCGCCGUAUUAGCUAGUUGGUAAGGUAACGGCUUACCAAGGCGACGAUACGUAGCCGACCUGAGAGGGUGAUCGGCCACACUGGAACUGGGACACGGUCCAGACUCCUACGGGAGGCAGCAGUAGGGAAUCUUCCGCAAUGGGCGAAAGCCUGACGGAGCAACGCCGCGUGAGUGAUGAAGGGUUUCGGCUCGUAAAACUCUGUUAUUAGGGAAGAACAAAUGUGUAAGUAACUGUGCACGUCCUGACGGUACCUAAUCAGAAAGCCACGGCUAACUACGUG
Molecule: ribosomal RNA, 497 nt
Filed under: uncultured bacterium
Lineage: Bacteria
Description: partial 16S ribosomal RNA
Rfam family: Bacterial small subunit ribosomal RNA
Source: RNAcentral